UGGAGCUGAUCCCUGCUCCAGCCCUCAGUCCGUGCAGCGUUUCUGAGCCGCCUGGCAGUGCAAGCGUUCCUCCCUGUUGCCCUAAUUACAGCAGGGCAAUCACCGUGUUUUACUACUGUGCUGCCGCAAAAUGAUUUCCAGUAUUUAAAAAUAACAUCAGGCAAAUCAUUUGUCCCUGAGCCUCGUCCUCGGUGGAGUUUGCACCGGCAUCUUCCAGGCACGGAGCACCACAAGAAGGAAAAAAGGAAAAGCAUGGAGGCUUCACCGAGACGUGAACAUCUGUGACCCUGUCUGCUGAACCUUCAGGUCGCUGUGUGCCUUCCUGCACCGCUGCAUUUCUCCUCUGCAUGCUGCAGUCCCCUCCCUCAGAUCACUGGUCCCACUGCUUGGGAUGCAGCCUGGGAUGCUCUUGGUUUGUGGAUGAACCCACGAUAAGGUUGUUU
This is a long non-coding RNA of Cuculus canorus (common cuckoo), 443 nucleotides long. RefSeq lists it as uncharacterized. Lineage: Eukaryota; Metazoa; Chordata; Aves; Cuculiformes; Cuculidae. The record is from RefSeq and is a predicted model, not a curated record. The transcript is spliced from 3 exons.